Molecule: long non-coding RNA, 204 nt
Filed under: Lathyrus oleraceus (garden pea)
Lineage: Eukaryota; Viridiplantae; Streptophyta; Magnoliopsida; Fabales; Fabaceae
Description: Pisum sativum (pea) long non-coding RNA (PSAT_LNC024049)
Source: RNAcentral
AAAUUUAUUUAUUUUUUCUUUCAUAUUCUCAAACAGAUCUUUUUUCUUAAUCUUUUCUUCUUUUCUCUCAAAUAUAUAUUUCUUUUCAACUCUCUCCGAUUUCUUUUCUCGCCCCUCUUUUUUUUUCUCAUAAAAAUUUCUUUUUUCUUCACUUCCUCAUGAAUUUAUUUUCCCUCUACUUCUUUUCUCUCCACUUCUUUACCA